Molecule: long non-coding RNA, 725 nt
Filed under: Olea europaea (common olive)
Lineage: Eukaryota; Viridiplantae; Streptophyta; Magnoliopsida; Lamiales; Oleaceae
Description: long non-coding RNA (OEUR_LNC006696)
Source: RNAcentral
AGACCUGUGUUCCACUCUAUAUGAGCCACACGCACAACAAAUACUCAAAGAUGAAUUUAUGUCGAUUAUUCCCGGAUCUGCAACAGUUGAUACUUUGUUAUUGCUAGGACAUGGAUUAUAGUGCUGAAUUUUUGUGACUAAUGUGUCAUAUGAUCAGUAGCUCCCCAGUCAAUGAUUCAAGAACUCAAAAGGGACUUAUCUGAACCACUUAGUGCACGAGAAAGAGAAAUUUACCUGAAUUAUCACCCUGUCGUUGGUUUGAACAUUUGAUUACACCACCAUAACUCCUCUCCUUCCUUAUUUGGCUUGAAAAUUGGAGAAUACUUCCUUGAUGGAUGGUAGAGUUUCUCCAGAAGUUGCAGCAGUUAUGAUGGAAAUCUCAGAAACAUCAGACAUGGUGGAACCACGAAAGAGGAGAUAAAAGGACCUUUAGCAAUGAAGGCUAUAAACUUUAGCAAUGAGGGCUGCAAAUAUUAGUCAAUGAAGGCUGAAAUUUUUUUCUUGAUAAUGGCAAUGAAGGCUGAUAAAGAAACUGAAAGAGUCCCAAGGUUUCAGGGCUCUGACACCUUGUGGAGAAAACUGGUCUUAACAUUCAAUAAUCUGAUAGUAGUACAAACCUAAUGUAUAAGCUAGAAUUACGAAGAAAGUCAUCGGACAAUAAAGCUUUCAAUCUCUAUAACAGGGAUUACACCUUUUAAUUGCUAAACAUUCGGGAUUACAUCUAC